ACAAAAUUGUGCCACGUUCAAAGGUUCAUUUUCAGAAUAAAGCAGUUUUCUGUUUGAAAAUAAAGAGAUUGUUGUCUUGUGUCGCGCUCAUAUCAGAGAUGUGUUAAAAUAACCUGUCAGCGAUGAAAGAGAACAGAAGAUGCUGUUUAGCAUGUCAGAGGAGAUUACAUGACACCAAAGGUCAACGGACUGUCAAGAGGCGGAUUGGUCAGAGAUACGAAAGCCUCAGCUCCCCGACUGCUGCAAGACUGCGUUCAGACUGUAGUGGGGUGUUUGACCUUCCCUGAAGAAAAAAAGCCUCCAGCUGUUUGCAGGAUGGAGGAGCUCCAAAAGAAUCUGUGAAGGCUCGUGAUACUCACAAGACGAUUUGGCAACGGUUGGCAGGAGAAGGCGGACUACAAUAGGAGGGCGUGACAAUCGAGCACAGGUGCGCCAUUAAGAGGAAGGAGAACCAGGUGGGAGAAAUUUGAAGACAGACAAAAGCUCAUAUUGGUGGAACCCCCAUUCUAAUGCUGUGGACCUCCCCCCAUCGCGCCAGGAGGCCCAGCGUGUGGCCCCAUCCCUCGAGAGUCCCUCAGCCCCAGACGAGCAACCCACCACCACCACCCAUGAGUUCUGACCACCCCAUACCCCCAAGGGAGACCCUCCCCCAUGGUCCAGGAGAGAGCAGGGCAGGGCAUCCAAGAGAAGUGAGGCUCCCUGAAGAGUAUUGUAAAAAAUCAUUUUCCUGGAGACACACGCACCUUUCCAUCUUUGGUCAAUAAUCAUCUGAAAUAAAGUACACCUGUUAGAUCCGGCAGCUAUUGGAGACCAGCAUCAAGGCCAACCACUGUUGGAAGAUACGGUAGUAUGGGACUAUGUAGUACUCCUGUUUUUAAAGAAAUUCAAACACCAUGCCCAGUACUUUUUUUUUUCUACAUGACUGAUU
Molecule: long non-coding RNA, 928 nt
Organism: Oryzias melastigma (Indian medaka)
Lineage: Eukaryota; Metazoa; Chordata; Actinopteri; Beloniformes; Adrianichthyidae
Exons: 5
Source: RefSeq, a predicted model, not a curated record